CGACCGGCGCACGGGUGCGUAACGCGUAUGCAACCUACCUUUAACAGGGGGAUAACACUGAGAAAUUGGUACUAAUACCCCAUAAUAUCAUAGAAGGCAUCUUUUAUGGUUGAAAAUUCCGAUGGUUAGAGAUGGGCAUGUGUUGUAUUAGCUAGUUGGUGGGGUAACGGCUCACCAAGGCGACGAUACAUAGGGGGACUGAGAGGUUAACCCCCCACACUGGUACUGAGACACGGACCAG
Molecule: ribosomal RNA, 241 nt
Filed under: uncultured bacterium
Lineage: Bacteria
Description: partial 16S ribosomal RNA
Rfam family: Bacterial small subunit ribosomal RNA
Source: RNAcentral